UCCGAGUUGACCCCGGCAGUCUCUUAUGAGUCCCCACCAUAACGUGCUGGCAACAUAAGACGAGGGUUGCGCUCGUUGCGGGACUUAACCCAACACCUCACGGCACGAGCUGACGACAGCCAUGCAGCACCUGUGCAAGCUCCCUUGCGGGUCCCUUCCCUUUCAGGUCAGUACCACUUGCAUGUCAAGCCCAGGUAAGGUUCUUCGCGUUGCAUCGAAUUAAUCCACAUGCCCCGCCGCUUGUGCGGGCCCCCGUCAAUUCCUUUGAGUUUCACCCUUGCGGGCGUACUCCCCAGGUGGAUGACUUAACGCUUUCGCUAAGACGCUGACAGUAUAUCGCCAACAUCGAGUCAUCAUCGUUUACGGCGUGGACUAC
This 376-nucleotide unclassified non-coding RNA is filed under the name uncultured bacterium. RNAcentral's name for it is "contains 16S-23S intergenic spacer region". The record is from RNAcentral.